UUGGAAUUUGAUUUGGAAAGAUUUUGUUAUAUGAAUCAGAAGAAAUAUAAAACAAGUUACUCCCAAGUCGGAACUGAUAUUUUAUGAAAUUUAAAUAUGUGAAACGUAUUGUUACGCAAUUAACUACAAUAUAAACAGGAAUGUGAAUGUGAGUGUGGCGCUAUCAAAUGUAUACUUAUAUUCAACGAAGGUCGGUCACGCUAUUGCUCGGUUAUUAUAAAGAGUAAAGACAAGUAUAAA
This 240-nucleotide long non-coding RNA is filed under the name Brassica napus (rape). RNAcentral's name for it is "long non-coding RNA (BNAP_LNC016673)". The record is from RNAcentral. Lineage: Eukaryota; Viridiplantae; Streptophyta; Magnoliopsida; Brassicales; Brassicaceae.